Long non-coding RNA from Apis florea (little honeybee), 945 nucleotides. RefSeq lists it as uncharacterized. The record is from RefSeq and is a predicted model, not a curated record. NCBI's taxonomy places the organism in Eukaryota, Metazoa, Arthropoda, Insecta, Hymenoptera, Apidae.
CCGCCAUACCAUAAACAUGUGCCGGAGCGUACUCGACUUCGUAUAUAAUUUAUAUUCGUUCGAUAUAAUUAUAUAUAAUUUAAAAAUAUGCACAAAUAUUAAAUUUGAAAUACGUUUUAUGUUAUAUUCGCGAGUGUUUAAAAUAUAUAUGUUUUAUUCAUGAAUGUUUUAAGUACGUUUAUUUGCGUAGUGAUAUAGUAACAGUUUCGCGCGCUUUUUUGCAUUUGUUUAUAGUCUACACGUUUAUUUACGAAUGUUCAGUUUACACAUUUAUUCGUAAAUUAUUCGUAUAUAUAAUUCGUUUAUUAUAUAUAUCAUUUUAUUUGUGAAUGCUGGUAUGUUUCAUCAUUAGACAAACAGUUAGCAAAUGGACGAUACAAUGUUCUACAAAGUUCUUCGCAAAAUUAUUAUUUGAUUAGAGUUUUGAAGAUGGAAUGUCGUUGAAAGUGUAAUAUUUUUUGCACAUACCAUGUAAUUAAGAGAUAAUCCGACUUUCAUGCGAAUGUGGAAAUUGACAUCUUACUCGAUGUGUUUUGAUUUAUCGAAUCGUCGAUUUAUCGAACCCCCCUUUCUAACUUAUAAUUCGAUGUAUCGAAAUUGCGGGAUGCCAUUUUGUUACUGAAAAUCAUAAGACACUUCGUUUCUGAUAAAUAACUUGAUUGGUAGAAAUUACUUUAGGUAGGAAAAGUAUUUCCAAUAUGGACGUCAUGAUGUCAUUUUAUACAAUUAUAUGAAAAAAGAGGUAAAAUUUAAAUUUCUAUAUUGAAGAAAAAUGUAAGUAUUUACUUUUGUAUUUUUCCUUUUAGUUCUUUAGUUUAACGUACUAGUUAUGUAUUAUAUAUACGUAAUUUUUAUAUAAUUUAUAAUUAUUGUAUUAAUUAUUGAAAAUAUUAAGAUGAAAAUUUGUUUCAAAAAUUUUAUAGCAAAAAUAUGAGAUCAAAUCAA